RNAcentral lists this long non-coding RNA (793 nucleotides) under Phaseolus vulgaris (common bean). RNAcentral describes it as "long non-coding RNA (PVUL_LNC004988)". The record is from RNAcentral. Lineage: Eukaryota; Viridiplantae; Streptophyta; Magnoliopsida; Fabales; Fabaceae.
CGAUUUGGAGUGCCCAAGCGCCUGGUGUCGGACAAUGGGACUCAGUUUGCAAGCCACCUGUUGAAGAAGCUGUGCGAAGGGUGGGAAUUCAACAAGUGUUUGCAUCCGUCGAGCACCCUCAGACGAAUGGCCAUGAUUUUGAGUGCCCAAGCGCCUGGUGUCGGACAAUGGGACUCAGUUUGCAAGCCACCUGUUGAAGAAGUUGUGCGAAGGGGUGGGAAUUCAACAAGUGUUUGCAUCCGUCGAGCACCCUCAGACGAAUGGCCAGGUGGAGUCAGCUAAUCGGGUGUUGCUGAGAGGUUUGAAGAGAAGGCUGGAGAAAGCCAAAGGAAGCUGGGCUGAAGAGGUACCCCGCAUAGUCUGGGCGUACCACACCACCGAGCAGUCAGGAACCCAUGAGACCCCGUUCAGCUUGGUCUAUGGGUGUGAUGCAAUGAUUCCAGUAGAGAUCCAGGAGAGCUCGCCGAGAUUCCGGAACUUCGUAGAGGAAGACUCGAAUGAAGAGAGAAGGCUGAACCUGGAUCUACUGGAUGAGGUCAGGGAAGAGGCGAGAUUGAAGGCUGAAGCGGUGAAGAGAAGGAUUGAACGAAGAUACAACUCAAAGGUGAUGCCAAGACAGUUUAGAGAAGGCGACCUGGUGAUGAGGAAAGCCCACCAGUACGAGAUGGAGAAUAAACUGUCGCCCAAGUGGACGGGGCCGUUCAGAAUAACCGAGGCGCUCGGGAACGGCGCCUACCAAUUAGAGACAUUGGAAGGAGGGGCGAUUCCUCGCACUUGGAACGCCACGCACCUG